Molecule: ribosomal RNA, 253 nt
Filed under: uncultured bacterium
Lineage: Bacteria
Description: partial 16S ribosomal RNA
Rfam family: Bacterial small subunit ribosomal RNA
Source: RNAcentral
UACGGAGGGUGCAAGCGUUGCUCGGAAUUACUGGGCGUAAAGCGUGUGUAGGCGGCUUCGUAAGUCGGGUGUGAAAGCCCUGGGCUUAACCCAGGAACUGCGCUCGAUACUGUGAAGCUUGUGUGCCGGAGAGGGUGGUAGAAUUCCCAGUGUAGAGGUGAAAUUCGUAGAUAUUGGGAGGAAUACCAGUGGCGAAGGCGGCCACCUGGACGGACACUGACGCUGAGACACGAAAGCGUGGGGAGCAAACAGG